Molecule: ribosomal RNA, 253 nt
Filed under: uncultured bacterium
Lineage: Bacteria
Description: partial 16S ribosomal RNA
Rfam family: Bacterial small subunit ribosomal RNA
Source: RNAcentral
UACAGAGGGGGCAAGCGUUAUUCGGAAUUAUUGGGCGUAAAGGGCGCGUAGGCGGCUCAUGAAGGCUGUGGUGAAAGUCCGGGGCUCAACCUCGGAUCGGCCGUGGCGACUCGUGGGCUGGAGCACUGUAGAGGCGGGUGGAAUUCCGGGUGUAGCGGUGGAAUGCGUAGAGAUCCGGAAGAACACCAGUGGCGAAGGCGGCCCGCUGGGCAGUGGCUGACGCUGAAGCGCGACAGCGUGGGGAGCAAACAGG